Small nuclear RNA from Mirounga angustirostris (Northern elephant seal), 107 nucleotides. The record is from RefSeq and is a predicted model, not a curated record. Lineage: Eukaryota; Metazoa; Chordata; Mammalia; Carnivora; Phocidae.
AUGCUGGCUUUGGUAGCACAUACACUAAUACUGGAGCAAUACAGAGAGGACUAGUGUGGCCCCUGCACAAGGAUGACAUGCACAUUCAUGAAGCGUUCCGUAUUGAA